Molecule: ribosomal RNA, 253 nt
Filed under: uncultured bacterium
Lineage: Bacteria
Description: partial 16S ribosomal RNA
Rfam family: Bacterial small subunit ribosomal RNA
Source: RNAcentral
UACGUAGGGUGCAAGCGUUAAUCGGAAUUACUGGGCGUAAAGCGCGUUCAGGCGGUUUGGCAAGUCGGGCAUGAAAUCUCUCGGCUCAACCGGGAGAGGUUGUCCGAUACUUCCAGACUUGAGGGCAGUAGAGGGUGGUGGAAUUCCGGGUGUAGUGGUGAAAUGCGUAGAUAUCCGGAGGAACACCAGUGGCGAAAGCGGCUACCUGGACUGCACCUGACGCUGACACGCGAAAGCUAGGGGAGCAAACAGG